This 404-nucleotide ribosomal RNA is filed under the name uncultured bacterium. Its description in RNAcentral is "bacterial SSU rRNA". It matches the Rfam family "Bacterial small subunit ribosomal RNA", at positions 335 to 732 of the family's 1533-position model. The record is from RNAcentral.
ACUCCUACGGGAGGCAGCAGUGAGGAAUAUUGGUCAAUGGGCGCAAGCCUGAACCAGCCAUGCCGCGUGCAGGAAGACUGCCUUAUGGGUUGUAAACUGCUUUUUAUAUGGGAAAGAAAACCCCUCUACGUGUAGAGGCUUGACGGUACCAUAAGAAUAAGCACCGGCUAACUCCGUGCCAGCAGCCGCGGUAAUACGGAGGGUGCGAGCGUUAAUCGGAAUUACUGGGCGUAAAGCGCAUGCAGGCGGCCUGUUAAGUCAGAUGUGAAAGCCCGGGGCUUAACCUCGGAAUUGCAUUUGAAACUGGCAGGCUAGAGUCUUGUAGAGGGGGUGAGAAUUAUCAGGUGUAGCGGUGAAAUGCGUAGAGAUCUGAAGGAAUACCAGUGGCGAAGGCGGCCCCUCGU